Molecule: ribosomal RNA, 465 nt
Filed under: Vreelandella stevensii
Lineage: Bacteria; Pseudomonadati; Pseudomonadota; Gammaproteobacteria; Oceanospirillales; Halomonadaceae
Description: partial 16S ribosomal RNA
Rfam family: Bacterial small subunit ribosomal RNA
Source: RNAcentral
CCUACGGGGGGCUGCAGUGGGGAAUAUUGGACAAUGGGCGAAAGCCUGAUCCAGCCAUGCCGCGUGUGUGAAGAAGGCCUUCGGGUUGUAAAGCACUUUCAGUGGGGAAGAAAGCCUUGGGGCUAAUACCCUCGAGGAAGGACAUCACCCACAGAAGAAGCACCGGCUAACUCCGUGCCAGCAGCCGCGGUAAUACGGAGGGUGCGAGCGUUAAUCGGAAUUACUGGGCGUAAAGCGCGCGUAGGCGGUCUGAUAAGCCGGUUGUGAAAGCCCCGGGCUCAACCUGGGAACGGCAUCCGGAACUGUCAGGCUAGAGGGCAGGAGAGGAAGGUAGAAUUCCCGGUGUAGCGGUGAAAUGCGUAGAGAUCGGGAGGAAUACCAGUGGCGAAGGCGGCCUUCUGGACUGACACUGACGCUGAGGUGCGAAAGCGUGGGUAGCAAACAGUAUUAGAUACCCUAGUAGUC